ACGCUGGCGGCGUGCUUAACACAUGCAAGUCGAACGAUGAAGCCUAGCUUGCUAGGUGGAUUAGUGGCGAACGGGUGAGUAAUACGUGAGUAACCUACCUUUAACUCUGGGAUAAGCCUGGGAAACUGGGUCUAAUACCGGAUACGACCAAUCUCCGCAUGGGGUGUUGGUGGAAAGCGUUAUGUAGUGGUUAUAGAUGGGCUCACGGCCUAUCAGCUUGUUGGUGAGGUAACGGCUCACCAAGGCGACGACGGGUAGCCGGCCUGAGAGGGUGACCGGCCACACUGGGACUGAGACACGGCCCAGACUCCUACGGGAGGCAGCAGUGGGGAAUAUUGCACAAUGGGCGCAAGCCUGAUGCAGCGACGCCGCGUGAGGGAUGACGGCCUUCGGGUUGUAAACCUCUGUUAGCAGGGAAGAAGAGAAAUUGACGGUACCUGCAGAGAAAGCGCCGGCUAACUACGUGCCAGCAGCCGCGGUAAUACGUAGGGCGCGAGCGUUGUCCGGAAUUAUUGGGCGUAAAGAGCUUGUAGGCGGUUUGUCGCGUCUGCUGUGAAAGGCCGGGGCUUAACCCCGUGUAUUGCAGUGGGUACGGGCAGACUAGACUGCAGUAGGGGAGACUGGAACUCCCGGUGUAGCGGUGGAAUGCGCAGAUAUCAGGAAGAACACCGAUGGCGAAGGCAGGUCUCUGGGCUGUAACUGACGCUGAGAAGCGAAAGCAUGGGGAGCGAACAGGAUUAGAUACCCUGGUAGUCCAUGCCGUAAACGUUGGGCACUAGGUGUGGGGGACAUUCCACGUUUUCCGCGCCGUAGCUAACGCAUUAAGUGCCCCGCCUGGGGAGUACGGCCGCAAGGCUAAAACUCAAAGAAAUUGACGGGGGCCCGCACAAGCGGCGGAGCAUGCGGAUUAAUUCGAUGCAACGCG
Molecule: ribosomal RNA, 925 nt
Filed under: uncultured bacterium
Lineage: Bacteria
Description: bacterial SSU rRNA
Rfam family: Bacterial small subunit ribosomal RNA
Source: RNAcentral